GCGGUUAUACGAGAGACCCAAGCUGACAGAAACCGGCGUAAAGAGUGGUUAGAAAAACAAGACACUAAAGCUGAACACUUUUUUAGCCGUUUAACGCUUAUGAAAACCAGAAACCCUAUUACGAAAGUAGCUUUAACCCCUUGAAUCCACGAAAGCUAUGAAACAAACUGGGAUUAGAUACCCCACUAUGCUUAGCCGUAAACAAUGAUAACUAAUUACACCCACCAUCCGCCCGGGUACUACGAGCAUAAGCUUAAAACCCAAAAGACCUGGCGGUGCUUUAAAACCCCCUAGAGGAGCCUGUUCUAUAACUGAUAACCCCCGUUCAACCUCACCCUCUCUUGCCAUUUACCGUUUAUAUACCGCCGUCGUCAGCCCACCCUGUGAAGGACUUAUAAUGAGCAUAACUGAUAUAACCUCAUACGUCAGGUCGAGGUGUAACAUAUGAGAGGGGAAGAAAUGGGCUACAUUCGUUUAUUAACGAACCACGAAAUGCAUGCUGAAAUCACAUGUUCGAAGGAGGAUUUAGCAGUAAGGAGAGGAUAGAGUACCCUCCUGAAACCGGCUCUAAAGCACGCACACACCGCCCGUCACUCUCCCCUUUUCAAUACUACUGAUAAAUAAGAAAUACCCGAAAAUUUAGGGGAGACAAGUCGUAA
This 659-nucleotide ribosomal RNA is filed under the name Entelurus aequoreus (snake pipefish). RNAcentral's name for it is "partial small subunit ribosomal RNA". It matches the Rfam family "Bacterial small subunit ribosomal RNA", at positions 517 to 1491 of the family's 1533-position model. The record is from RNAcentral. Lineage: Eukaryota; Metazoa; Chordata; Actinopteri; Syngnathiformes; Syngnathidae.